GACGAACGCUGGCGGCGUGCCUAAUACAUGCAAGUCGAACGCAUUUUCUUUCACCGUAGCUUGCUACACCGAAAGAAACUGAGUGGCGAACGGGUGAGUAACACGUGGGUAACCUGCCCAUCAGCGGGGGAUAACACUUGGAAACAGGUGCUAAUACCGCAUAAUUCCAUUUACCGCAUGGUAUAUGGAUGAAAGGCGCUUUUGCGUCACUGAUGGAUGGACCCGCGGUGCAUUAGCUAGUUGGUGGGGUAACGGCCUACCAAGGCUGCGAUGCAUAGCCGGACUGAGAGGGUGAUCGGCCACACUGGGACGGAGACAAGGCCCAGACGCCUACGGGAGGCAGCAGUAGGGAAUCUUCGGCAAUGGACGCAAGUCUGACCGAGCAACGCCGCGUGAGUGAAGAAGGUUUUCGGAUCGUAAAACUCGGUUGUUAGAGAAGAACAAGGAUGAGAGUGGAAAGUUCAUCCCUUGACGGUAUCUAACCAGAAAGCCACGGCUAACUACGUG
RNAcentral lists this ribosomal RNA (507 nucleotides) under uncultured bacterium. RNAcentral describes it as "partial 16S ribosomal RNA". It matches the Rfam family "Bacterial small subunit ribosomal RNA", at positions 28 to 507 of the family's 1533-position model. The record is from RNAcentral.